Non-coding RNA from Hippopotamus amphibius kiboko, 73 nucleotides. The record is from the annotation of a RefSeq genome assembly. Lineage: Eukaryota; Metazoa; Chordata; Mammalia; Artiodactyla; Hippopotamidae.
UCCCUGGUGGUCCAGUGUUUAGGACUCCAUACUUUUAAUGCUGAGGGCCCAGGUUCAAUCCCUGGUUGGGGAA